UAACGAACUAAAACAGAUCGUAUACUCAUUGUCACAAUCUGAGACUAAAUCAAAAAUAUUGGAAUUCGCGUUAAAAAACUCGUAGAAAUUCAUCCCUCCUCAAUCACCUCAUAUGGGAUGAUUGUGGGAGGCUACCGUCAAAUCAGCAAAAACGCAUUUGAAGGCUGUCAUUAAAGAUGCAUUCUUGACGUUCGAAGAAUUGUAUACAAUAAUUGUCCAAGUUGAGGCGACAUUAAACUCGCGACCGUUAUGUCCGAUAACAGCUGACCUUGCUGACUUGAGUGCGCUCACACCAGGACAUUUUCUGAUAGGGACUGCAUUAAAUUCAGUCCUGGAGGAAGAUGUACUGGAUGUGCCGAGAAACCGUACAAACAGAUUUUAAUUGAUUUCUCAGAUGCACCAAUCUUUUUGGAAAAGAUGGGCUUCUGAAUAUGUAACACAAUUGCAGGCUCGAUCGAAGUGGAGAUCAAAAACUGAUGAUAGUAUGUUAAAAAUUGGACAAUUGGUUGUCAUAAAAAGUGAUAAUGUACCUCCACUUCGGUGGCAGUUAGGUGGGAUAUGCGAAUUGCAUCCCGGAGUGGAUGGAUUGAUAAGGGUUGUAAGUGUAAAGACGAAUGCAGGAGUGUUAAAAAGAUCAUUACCGAGAGUUUGUAUUCUUCCUUUGGACAUUUGAAUUAUAUUCUGAUCUUAAAAAAUCAUCGACAAAUUAAAUUUUAAUUAUUUAACAAUGUGAUAAUUUAAUUGAGAAAAUUUUAUUGAAAAACUUUAUCUCUUUUUAUUCGACUGGUCUUUCAAGGUGGGCGGCAUGAUUGAUACUAUAUGUGCUUUGCUGUGAGAGUACUGUGAGAGAAUGCGUGUUAUCUUUGUAAGCUUGUGCGUGUCUUAGAAGUGUGUGUAAGGUGCGCAAAUUUGGAAAGAAGGGUCAGUCUUGCUAUAGCUAUUGAAUCAAAAGCAAUGUAAUUUACACAAGAAAAUAUAAGUAAUUAUUAACCAAGAAAAACGUUUCACACUUUGUUUUUACUUCAUCUCGCAUCAUCUUGAUGCAUUAAAGUUUGCCUUCAGAUCUUUCUACUGCCAUCGAGGAAGAUGUUUCAUGAUAAAAAUGCUGAUAAUUACUUUAAAACCUUACAACAUUCUAAAAUAGACGUAAAAAUAGUCGUUUAUCAUCAAUUUUUCAAAAAUUUCUCAACUGUGAUAUUUAUGUUGGACUUUCUGGAUUUUGGAUUUCCUAACCUUUGGACUUUUUGUCCUUUGGACCUUUCGGAUUGGAUAAUCGGUCUUGGACCUUUUAUUUUGGACUUUCUGUACUGCUACCAUUGAGACACGUGAUAAUACGGAACAAUAUUCUUGGCAAAAAAUUGUAACACAAACACAUUGAGUGAAAGUAUCUAAAAUAAAAGUUAUACAUAGUAGAUA
Leptopilina boulardi is the source of this 1416-nucleotide long non-coding RNA. RefSeq lists it as uncharacterized. The transcript has 3 exons. The record is from RefSeq and is a predicted model, not a curated record. NCBI's taxonomy places the organism in Eukaryota, Metazoa, Arthropoda, Insecta, Hymenoptera, Figitidae.